UAGCAGACACACACACUAACACUCAUUAGCAGACACACACUAACACUCACUCUAACACUCACACUAACACUCACUCACACUAACACUCACUCUAACACUCACACACACUAACACUCACUCUAACACUCACACACACACUAACACAUGAUUUUUUUUUUUUAAUAUAAUCCCCCCAGCCUCCUUACCUCUUGGAGUGCUGGGGGGGAUUAUUCCC
Molecule: non-coding RNA, 214 nt
Organism: Pelobates cultripes (western spadefoot toad)
Lineage: Eukaryota; Metazoa; Chordata; Amphibia; Anura; Pelobatidae
Source: the annotation of a GenBank genome assembly